GUAAAUAAAGAAUUUAUGGUCCACUUUUUAGUGUGCACUAAAAUCUUUAUUUCCUUCCUUUUGAAUUUUUUAUAAAAUUCAAAUCGUUUACUGUGAAGAAAUUAGAGUGUUCAAAGCAGGCGUAACCUAGCCUUUGAAUAUAUUAGCAUGGGAUAAUGAAAUAGGACUUUGGUUCUACUUUCGUUGGUUUCUAGGGCUAAAGUA
Molecule: ribosomal RNA, 204 nt
Filed under: uncultured fungus
Lineage: Eukaryota; Fungi
Description: partial small subunit ribosomal RNA
Rfam family: Eukaryotic small subunit ribosomal RNA (bases 51-204)
Source: RNAcentral